ACAUACAUCAAUACAUCAAAUUAAUAACAAUAAAUACAUCCAUACAUCAAAUUAAUAACAACCGAAUACAUAUUUUACUUUCGAAUUAAUAAAAUAUGAAAAAAAAUACACAAAAUCAAAGUACAUAAUAAAGAGAAUUGACAGCUCUAAUCGUACAGGAACAGCAAAGCUCAUCGGACGGCACUCAUUCACAGCCGUGGCUAUGGUAGUUACGUCGCUCUCUUAUUAUGUGUGUAUGGGAUUAAUAACGAGCACUCCAGUUGUUUGUAUAAACUCCUCGCAGAGUAAUUCCUAUUGAUUAUUAUUCUAAAAAGUAACCGUAAAUAUCUAUUUGCAUGAUGAGACUAUACUUGCUCCUUCUGUUAAUGAUUUGUCUUUACACUAUUGUUUUCCUGUGUAAAAGUUUAUGUGUGGGGCACUCGGGCUUAUUAAGUUAUUUGUUCUUGCUUCUACUAAUAAAAUAAACUAGCAUAACAGUAUCUUAGUUAGUAACCCUGUUGCUGCAUUGAAACAAUGUGUGUGUUUUGUUUACAAGAUGUAGUAAAACGAUGCCUAUUAGACUCUCUGCCUUUGUUGUGCCUCGAGGCAGUUGGAUAUACGGGUGUCGUUCGACUUGGUUCCAAGCAUUUACACUCGUUGUCACUGUGGUAAUGAAAUCAGUAUAGUCUUUGAUGAGUAUAGACGAAAGGAUAAUAUUCUGUGUACUAGAUAUUCAGUUUAAUUAUUUUGAUGUUAAUAUUAUGGUUCAGGUUUCUCAUUAAUGCUUUCGAAAUUGUAUGAUACUUGCUGGUAUAGGCGUAUAGCAGACAAGAGACUUGAACUUCUGUCAAUAAAUUUUGUAUACUGUGUUCUGUUGAGUUUCAACUUCCAAAUCACGUGUAAUUAGUGUUCUUCAUAGCCUUAAUUUUAAUCUUCUCUUAUUACACUGGACAUUGAUAACAAGACUGGCCUGUCAGGGACAUUGAAAACUGGAAUACAUGUACAAUCAAAGUGGUCACUACGCAAAUAUACGGACACUUUAGUCAACCAACUCUUUCUGAAUGUGUUUUCAGCAUGUUUUCAUAGGAGGUUAUAAUAUAACAACUUGUUGAUUCAUCUCAAUUUUAUUUGUCUCAUUAUAUGUUUGUUUAGUUAUAUUCAUUUUAUAGGUGUUUUGAGAGGCAACUGAAUCCACAUUUCAGUGGCAAUGGCCUCAGGUAUGCAGUAAUCUUCAUUGUAUUAUUAUAUGUUCACUUAUUAUUACGUAACAACAUUUAAGGCUUUACCAAUUAUAUUGAAAUAGAGCAUGUUGCUUAGUCUAGACGAUUUUUCUCAAAUCAAAAAUAGGUAUACUUAGGAAACUAAACUCCUGGCACAGUUACAAUUAAAUUUUUAUUGACCAUAGUCUCAAAAGUCAAAACUAACAAUGGGUUUUCUACUUGCAUGAAACGUUACAUGGUCCUUUUCUAUUGAUUGUUGUGUGUUUUCCUGUAUCAAAGUGUAUGCCUGGAGCUAUUUUUAUUUAUAUACUUUUGCUGUUAUUAAUAAGAAGAUUAGCAUAGUAGUAUCUGACUUGGUGAGUGGUUGUGUUGCGUUGGGAUAAAUGUUUGUGUUCUGUUUACAAGGAAGAUAUUGUAAAACAAUACAUAUUAGACUCUUUGCCUCUGUCUUCUUUCAAGCCAGUUGGAUAUAGGGGCGUGGCAGUGAAAUCAGUAGAGUCUCUGAUGAGUAUAAACAAAAGGAUAAUAAUAUGUGUAUUAGAUAUUCAGAACUUCCUCACAAUUAUUUUAAUUAUUUUUAUGCAAACAUUAUUGUUCAGGUUUCUCAUUGAUGCUUUCGGAUUUGUAUAAUACUUGCAGCUGGUAGCAGAUAAAGGACAUGAACUUCUGUCAAAGAAAUUUAUAUACUAUGUUCUGAUGAGUUUUAACUUUCAAAUCAUACAUACAUAGUGUUCUGCAUUCUCUAAAUUAUAUUUGUUUGAUUAUAUGCUUCUUUAUUUAAUUAUAUUUAUGUAUAGGUGUUUUGAGAUAGAACUGAAUCCUCAUAUAACUGGCAAUGACCCCAGUACCAGCCUGCCUCUUUUCUUGAGUACUGGUGACUGGUGAGCGUCUACAGGGGGAUUGCUAUAGCCUGUGGUUAACUUGGAGAUAUGUUAUUGGACUCGGCUAGAACAAAAGGAUUUCUUGUUGCCAUUGUCCUUCGGGUUGCUUUGUGUGAUCAGUUCUUAGUGGCCGAGUCAAAAUGGUAGUCCAUGGAAGUGCCACUUGGUGUCACAAUUAAUCACCAAAAUUUGUUAAACCGUAUUGUCAACAUGGAGAGGAAGGAAAGAUAUGAAGCAAGGUGUUCCCAGAAGUAUAGAGAAAAAUGCAGAAUAUUGUAUGUUUCUUCCACAGAGAAUACUCCCCUAUGUUUAUUAGCAUCAAAAGUCAGUCAUACUAGCUUUACUGAAUAGCUGUCAUGUGUUGCACAGUUUCUAUGACAAGUAUUUAUUUUUGGGGAGCCCUUUGCCCCUUUCUAUGAGAAACUGAGAUGUAAUUAUGAGCAGACAGAAUUCAGAGCAGAAAAAGAGAGAGGAUAAAAGUGAAAUGCGAUGCUUUCACUGUAUAUGUUGAGAAUAUGUACUAGUAUAAAAUAUGGAUUCUUUGUUA
Daucus carota subsp. sativus is the source of this 2627-nucleotide RNA transcript. RefSeq lists it as uncharacterized. The transcript is spliced from 5 exons. The record is from RefSeq and is a predicted model, not a curated record. Lineage: Eukaryota; Viridiplantae; Streptophyta; Magnoliopsida; Apiales; Apiaceae.